This 602-nucleotide ribosomal RNA is filed under the name uncultured bacterium. RNAcentral's name for it is "bacterial SSU rRNA". It matches the Rfam family "Bacterial small subunit ribosomal RNA", at positions 59 to 656 of the family's 1533-position model. The record is from RNAcentral.
CAGUCGAACGGAGAUUAUACGCAGAGGCGAUUUCGGUCAAAUCAUGUAAAAUCUUAGUGGCGGACAGGUGAGUAACGCGUGGGUAACCUGCCUUACACUGGGGGAUAACACUUAGAAAUAGGUGCUAAUACCGCAUAAGCGCACGAAGCCGCAUGGAUUUGUGUGAAAAACUCCGGUGGUGUAAGAUGGACCCGCGUCUGAUUAGCUUGUUGGCGGGGUAACGGCCCACCAAGGCGACGAUCAGUAGCCGGCCUGAGAGGGUGGACGGCCACAUUGGGACUGAGACACGGCCCAAACUCCUACGGGAGGCAGCAGUGGGGGAUAUUGGACAAUGGGGGGAACCCUGAUCCAGCGACGCCGCGUGAGUGAAGAAGUAUUUCGGUAUGUAAAGCUCUGUCAGCAGGGAAGAAAGAAAUGACGGUACCCGACCAAGAAGCCCCGGCUAACUACGUGCCAGCAGCCGCGGUAAUACGUAGGGGGCAAGCGUUAUCCGGAAUUACUGGGUGUAAAGGGAGCGUAGACGGUUAAGUAAGUCUGGAGUGAAAGGCCGGGGCCCAACCCCGGGACUGCUCUGGAAACUAUUGAACUUGAGUGCAGGAGAG